UCCUGCCGGACCUGACUGCUAUCGGAUUGAUACUAAGCCAUGCGAGUCUUUGUAGUAAUACAAGGCAGACGGCUCAGUAACACGUAGUCAACCUACCCUAUGGACAAGAAUAAUCUCGGGAAACUGGGCAUAAUUCUUGAUAGAUCAUAAUGCCUGGAAUGGUUUAUGGUUAAAAUGAUUCGUCGCCAUAGGAUGGGACUGCGGCCUAUCAGCUUGUUGGUGAGGUAAUGGCCCACCAAGGCGAUUACAGGUACGGGCUCUGAGAGGAGAAGCCCGGAGAUGGGUACUGAGACACGGACCCAGGCCCUAUGGGGCGCAGCAGGCGAGAAAACUUUGCAAUGUGCGAAAGCACGACAAGGUUAAUCCGAGUGAUUUCUGCUAAAGAAAUCUUUUGCCAGUCGUAAAACCGCUGGUGAAUAAGGGGUGGGCAAGUUCUGGUGUCAGCCGCCGCGGUAAAACCAGCACCUCAAGUGGUCAGGAUGAUUAUUGGGCCUAAAGCAUCCGUAGCCGGCUUUGUAAGUUUUCGGUUAAAUCCAUGUGCUCAACGCAUGGGCUGCCGAAAAUACUGCAUAGCUAGGGAGUGGGAGAGGUAGACGGUACUCAGUAGGUAGGGGUAAAAUCCUUUGAUCUAUUGAUGACCACCUGUGGCGAAGGCGGUCUACCAGAACACGUUCGACGGUGAGGGAUGAAAGCUGGGGGAGCAAACCGGAUUAGAUACCCGGGUAGUCCCAGCCGUAAACGAUGCAGACUCGAUGAUGCAUUGGCAUAAUAGCCAAUGCGGUGUCGCAGGGAAGCCGUUAAGUCUGCCGCCUGGGAAGUACGUACGCAAGUAUGAAACUUAAAGGAAUUGGCGGGGGAGCACCACAAGGGGUGAAGCCUGCGGUCAAU
Molecule: ribosomal RNA, 888 nt
Filed under: uncultured marine group I thaumarchaeote
Lineage: Archaea; Thermoproteati; Nitrososphaerota
Description: SSU rRNA
Rfam family: Archaeal small subunit ribosomal RNA
Source: RNAcentral